RNAcentral lists this ribosomal RNA (915 nucleotides) under bacterium enrichment culture clone SaB10. Its description in RNAcentral is "bacterial SSU rRNA". It matches the Rfam family "Bacterial small subunit ribosomal RNA", at positions 74 to 997 of the family's 1533-position model. The record is from RNAcentral.
GCGACUUGCUUCUCUUGAGAGCGGCGGACGGGUGAGUAAUGCCUAGGAAUCUGCCUGGUAGUGGGGGAUAACGCUCGGAAACGGACGCUAAUACCGCAUACGUCCUACGGGAGAAAGCAGGGGACCUUCGGGCCUUGCGCUAUCAGAUGAGCCUAGGUCGGAUUAGCUAGUUGGUGAGGUAAUGGCUCACCAAGGCGACGAUCCGUAACUGGUCUGAGAGGAUGAUCAGUCACACUGGAACUGAGACACGGUCCAGACUCCUACGGGAGGCAGCAGUGGGGAAUAUUGGACAAUGGGCGAAAGCCUGAUCCAGCCAUGCCGCGUGUGUGAAGAAGGUCUUCGGAUUGUAAAGCACUUUAAGUUGGGAGGAAGGGCAGUAACCUAAUACGUUAUUGUUUUGACGUUACCGACAGAAUAAGCACCGGCUAACUCUGUGCCAGCAGCCGCGGUAAUACAGAGGGUGCAAGCGUUAAUCGGAAUUACUGGGCGUAAAGCGCGCGUAGGUGGUUUGUUAAGUUGAAUGUGAAAUCCCCGGGCUCAACCUGGGAACUGCAUCCAAAACUGGCAAGCUAGAGUAGGGCAGAGGGUGGUGGAAUUUCCUGUGUAGCGGUGAAAUGCGUAGAUAUAGGAAGGAACACCAGUGGCGAAGGCGACCACCUGGGCUCAUACUGACACUGAGGUGCGAAAGCGUGUGGAGCAAACAGGAUUAGAUACCCUGGUAGUCCACGCCGUAAACGAUGUCACUAGCCGUUGGAAUCCUUGAGAUUUUAGUGGCGCAGCUAACGCAUUAAGUUGACCGCCUGGGGAGUACGGCCGCAAGGUUAAACUCAAAUGAUUGACGGGCGCCGCACAAGCGGUGGAGCAUGUGUUAUUCGAGCACGACGAGACCUUACCAGGGCUGACAUCCAAUGAAUC